CGCGUAGGCGGUUUGGUAAGUUGGAUGUGAAAACUCUGGGCUUAACCCAGAGCCUGCAUCCAAAACUGGCAAGCUGGAGUUUUGGAGGGGGAAGCGGAAUUCCUGGUGUAGCAGUGAAAUGCGUAGAUAUCAGGAGGAACACCGGUGGCGAAGGCGGCUUCCUGGACAAAACUGACGCUGAGGCGCGAAAGCUAGGGGAGCAAACA
Molecule: ribosomal RNA, 206 nt
Filed under: uncultured bacterium
Lineage: Bacteria
Description: partial 16S ribosomal RNA
Rfam family: Bacterial small subunit ribosomal RNA
Source: RNAcentral